UUUUUUUUUAAAUUUAUUUUAUUUUUUUUUAAAUUUUCAAUUUCACUUGAACUAUAGAAGUAGAGUUGAGACUAAUAAAAGAAGCCUGUCUAAUUUCUUUGACAACCAAACUUGGCCAGUGUGGCUAAUGCUAGGGUUGAUCAUGGGGUACAACUACUGAAUUAGCACUUUCUACUUCUACAUCAUUGAUAGUAACAUUUCUUGCAGGGUAUAAAAACAUUUUGUUUGUUUUAACCCAAUUCUAUAAGUGACCAAUAAAGUUUGUUUGGCUCGACUCUUUUUGUCUUCCGUAGAAUAUGUUAUGUGUUUAAAUGAAGCUCUUAGAUCCACCAGUCUAGUCAACAAACAAAUGUUACUCAACUGACUUUACAAUGUACUUCAUAUAAAGUCAGGUCAAUAUGCACUAUAGGAGUACUGCAUAGAACCUCAAUAGUAUCAUUAGACAACAGUACAGGUCUGGAUAUAAAUGAACAAACAAAAAAAUAUUUGAAUUGUUACUUUUUUGUUCAGU
Molecule: non-coding RNA, 511 nt
Organism: Biomphalaria pfeifferi
Lineage: Eukaryota; Metazoa; Mollusca; Gastropoda; Planorbidae
Source: the annotation of a GenBank genome assembly